UCUUUUCUUUUGAUAGGAGAGUUUUUAAAACCAGUGUUAUUUUUGUAAGUUUAAGAGAAGUUUGUGUAUUGAAUUUUUUAUUUUUAAUAUUAAAGAGCUUUGUUAAACUUAGACUUAAGUUUAGGUCAUUUUGGGGGUUUAGCUCAGUUGGCUAGAGCAUCGGCUUUGCAAGCCGAGGGUCAAGGGUUCGAGUCCCUUAACCUCCAUUGGGCUUAUGUCCUAAAUCGUAAUUAAGUAUGUUUUUAAGUAACUUUGUUAAAGUAAUUGUUGGAAUGUGAAACAGAGGAAGUUAAAAUUUCUGGGUUAAGUUGAGAUCUGUUGAUAUUAAGAAGAAUCUCUAGAAGCAAAAGCAAGCUUUCGAUAAAACCCGAAGUUGUUUCGCUAAAGUGCAAGGAUUAAACAGGAUUGUAUUUUCCAGUAGCCUAUUUUAUAAACGAUCUGCAUUUAGUAAAUAGUUUUUAGUUAAGAAAUAAUGUAGAUUGCUAAGUGUGAUGCC
Molecule: unclassified non-coding RNA, 496 nt
Filed under: Borreliella burgdorferi (Lyme disease spirochete)
Lineage: Bacteria; Pseudomonadati; Spirochaetota; Spirochaetia; Spirochaetales; Borreliaceae
Description: partial 16S-23S ribosomal RNA intergenic spacer
Rfam family: tRNA (bases 133-206)
Source: RNAcentral